RNAcentral lists this ribosomal RNA (252 nucleotides) under uncultured bacterium. Its description in RNAcentral is "partial 16S ribosomal RNA". It matches the Rfam family "Bacterial small subunit ribosomal RNA", at positions 524 to 776 of the family's 1533-position model. The record is from RNAcentral.
UACGUAGGGGGCAAGCGUUGUCCGGAUUUAUUGGGCGUAAAGAGCGUGUAGGCGGCUUGGUAGGUCUCGCGUUAAAACCUGAGGCUCAACCUCAGUUCGCGUGGGAAACCACCUAGCUAGAGUCCGGAAGAGGAGAACGGAAUUCCCAGUGUAGCGGUGAAAUGCGCAGAUAUCAGGAGGAACACCGGUGGCGAAGGCGGGUCUCUGGGCAGUAACUGACGCUGAGGAGCGAAAGCGUGGGGAGCGAACAGG